This 253-nucleotide ribosomal RNA is filed under the name uncultured bacterium. RNAcentral's name for it is "partial 16S ribosomal RNA". It matches the Rfam family "Bacterial small subunit ribosomal RNA", at positions 524 to 776 of the family's 1533-position model. The record is from RNAcentral.
UACGUAGGGCGCAAGCGUUGUCCGGAAUUAUUGGGCGUAAAGAGCUCGUAGGCGGUUUGUCGCGUCGGAUGUGAAAGCCCGGGGCUUAACCCCGGGUCUGCAUUCGAUACGGGCAGACUGGAGUGUGGUAGGGGAGAUCGGAAUUCCUGGUGUAGCGGUGAAAUGCGCAGAUAUCAGGAGGAACACCGGUGGCGAAGGCGGAUCUCUGGGCCGGUACUGACGCUGAGGAGCGAAAGCGUGGGGAGCGAACAGG